GUCGUGCCAAUUGCCUGUUUUAAAAGUCAGAAGCUGAUGCUAGUAGAUGAAUAUAUGCAGCAGCAUAUUGUCUCCAGAGAAACUUGUGUUGGACUGGUUUAGAGUAAAUCCUCUGAAGCUUGCUGGCAGUCGAAUGAGUUCCUGCGAGUGAUGGCAUUUUUGGCGAUUGGCAUUAUUGCUAGCAUGUAUGCGGUUAAUUUAUUUUUGUUGCCCAUUUUAGGGGUUCAAGCAACACAUCCAUAUUUGUCUUGCAGACGCGUAUGUGGUAUUUGUAAAUUUAUCUGUUGUUCAGUAAAUCUAGUGGCCCGUAAUAAAUGCUAAUAUGAUGAAAUGUUUCCUCGAUAGGCUUUUCCUACUUUGAUAAACCAUGGCGGACGGCUGCAGGAGUGAUGAGAAGUCUCAAAAACUUUGGUGUUAUAUUUUGAGAUAUGAUGCGUUCUCCCAUCCUGCCGACAGCAUGGAGGGUUUGUUGUGACACGGUCAUGUACACGAAAUUUUGGUC
This 502-nucleotide long non-coding RNA is filed under the name Elaeis guineensis (African oil palm). Its description in RNAcentral is "long non-coding RNA (EGUI_LNC000190)". The record is from RNAcentral. Lineage: Eukaryota; Viridiplantae; Streptophyta; Magnoliopsida; Arecales; Arecaceae.